Molecule: small RNA, 119 nt
Filed under: Marmota monax (woodchuck)
Lineage: Eukaryota; Metazoa; Chordata; Mammalia; Rodentia; Sciuridae
Source: RNAcentral
ACUGGGCAUGGUGGCGCAUGCCUGUAAUCCCAGUGGCUUGAGAGGUUGAAGCAGGAGGACUGCAAGUUCAAAGCCAGCCUCAGCAAUUCAGUGAGGCUCUAAGUGAGACCCUGUCUCUA